GACGGGGCCCGCACAAGCGGUGGAGCAUGUGGUUUAAUUCGACGCAACGCGAAGAACCUUACCAGGGCUUGACAUCCCCUGACCGCGUAUGAAAGUACGUUUUCACCUCGGGUGACAGGGAGACAGGUGGUGCAUGGUUGUCGUCAGCUCGUGUCGUGAGAUGUUGGGUUAAGUCCCGCAACGAGCGCAACCCCUACGUUUAGUUGCUAACAGGUGAAGCUGAGCACUCUAGACGAACUGCCGUUGACAAAACGGAGGAAGUGGGGAUGACGUCAAAUCAUCAUGCCCCUUAUGUUCUGGGCUACACACGUGCUACAAUGGCCGGUACAGACGGAGGCGAAGCCGCGAGGCGGAGCAAAUCCGAAAAAGCCGGUCUCAGUUCGGAUUGCAGGCUGCAAUUCGCCUGCAUGAAGUCGGAAUCGCUAGUAAUCGCGGAUCAGCACGCCGCGGUGAAUACGUUCCCGGGCCUU
This 470-nucleotide ribosomal RNA is filed under the name uncultured Pelotomaculum sp. RNAcentral describes it as "bacterial SSU rRNA". It matches the Rfam family "Bacterial small subunit ribosomal RNA", at positions 916 to 1381 of the family's 1533-position model. Lineage: Bacteria; Bacillati; Bacillota; Clostridia; Eubacteriales; Desulfotomaculaceae. The record is from RNAcentral.